AGCGUUCCAUCUCCGUUACCUCAAAACGGGCCUCUCUCAGAGUUUGCCGAUUGGUCCUGGCAGUUGGCUGCCCGGAAAAUGCCGCAAGCGUACCACCUGAUUUGACACGCGCUUUGUUCCUGGGCUUAAAACUGACACAGAGUGCUGUGAUGACCGACAGCAGGGACGAGAAAACGCAGUACAGGGUCCCACAUCCUCAGUGACCACCAGCACCGCCCACCUCAUCUUCCUCAGCAUAGAAGUAGCUUUCUUAUGCCAUGGCGAACGGGUCCUAUCUCCCAACACCCCUCCGCAGGCUGUCACUGGCAAACAUGCUGAGAUUCCAGCGGGCUCCAGGGGACACACUUACCGUCAACAGGCGGCAGCCACCGCGAGCAACUGCCAAGAACGCAGUGAGUCACACCUCAGAACUUCACCAAAGAGGCGUCCAUUUCAUCCAAGCCUCCUCUAAUGUGCUGGGGACCGUACCAGCAAGAUGCCUUUUGAAUCGGCCCUGCGCUACACGCAACCUUCUCUCAUUUUGAUAGUCACUGUGCAGGACACCAGCUACCUUGCUCUGCCGAAGGAAAGGGAGAGACCGGGACAAGAAAAGCGGCAGAUGCGUCGCGAUGGAAAGCAACCUGGGUCCUGCUUGUUCAAAACGCGCACCGGGCUCUGGUGAUCGCGAGCGAGCUGCUGGAGAAACGUGUCUCAGACCUGAAAGUGUUGGCACCGCACUUGGAAAGUCAUACGACGUCAAGGAGGAAGAAAUGCAUCCUUAGGAAAUGACUGCAUGAGUUCGUCGAUGUUAUGUGUAAUUCUUUAAAAGGGGGGUUUAACCUGAAUUUCGAUAACAUAUACUGAUUUAUUAACAGAUAUUAUAGCGAACUGUGCAAGGCACGUUGGACAUCAGGAUCUGUUAAAUAAUAAUGCCAGUUAUAAUCCAGCAGGAUUCAAAGGUUGAUAAGCUGCCCUUGGAUUCACUGGGGAGGCCAUCGGGGGCAAUUAAUAUUUUCAGGGGUGGCCACACUCCAUCGUAUUUAUUCUAUGGUUUAGAAAAUAAAAUGGUGCAUAGUUUGUUUUUAUUAUUUUAAUGUGGGCCCGAAAAUGGUGACCUGGAUCUCCCCUUAGACCUGACCCUGCUUGGAUGAGGAGCGCAGUGUGUACUGCUCGGCUGCCCCGCACUUCUCCUUUGGCCUCUCUGACUCCCACUGCAUCCCCACCUGUGGAUUCAUCCUCACUCUUGUCACGGACCCCACUAACUCGUGCUAUUAGAGCCCCCACUGUCCCGGGCUCCUCCUGAUCAGGCUGGGCUCCUGGGAAAUCGACG
Molecule: long non-coding RNA, 1309 nt
Organism: Brienomyrus brachyistius
Lineage: Eukaryota; Metazoa; Chordata; Actinopteri; Osteoglossiformes; Mormyridae
Exons: 3
Source: RefSeq, a predicted model, not a curated record